GGUAUAGCUCAGUGGUAGAGUGUGUGCUUAGCAUGCACAAGGUCCUGGGUUCAAUCCCCAGUACC
This 65-nucleotide transfer RNA is filed under the name Camelus bactrianus (Bactrian camel). It matches the Rfam family "tRNA". From Rfam's summary of the family: Transfer RNA (tRNA) molecules are approximately 80 nucleotides in length. Their secondary structure includes four short double-helical elements and three loops (D, anti-codon, and T loops). RNAcentral also lists the same sequence under 3 other names. Lineage: Eukaryota; Metazoa; Chordata; Mammalia; Artiodactyla; Camelidae. The record is from Rfam by way of RNAcentral.